RNAcentral lists this ribosomal RNA (441 nucleotides) under uncultured bacterium. RNAcentral's name for it is "bacterial SSU rRNA". It matches the Rfam family "Bacterial small subunit ribosomal RNA", at positions 340 to 767 of the family's 1533-position model. The record is from RNAcentral.
UACGGAAGGCAGCAGUGGGGAAUAUUGGACAAUGGGCGCAAGCCUGAUCCAGCCAUGCCGCGUGUGUGAAGAAGGCCUUUUGGUUGUAAAGCACUUUAAGCGAGGAGGAGGCUCUCUUAGUUAAUACCUAAGAUGAGUGGACGUUACUCGCAGAAUAAGCACCGGCUAACUCUGUGCCAGCAGCCGCGGUAAUACAGAGGGUGCGAGCGUUAAUCGGAUUUUACUGGGCGUAAAGCGUGCGUAGGCGGCUUUUUUAAGUCGGAUGUGAAAUCCCCGAGCUUAACUUGGGAAUUGCAUUCGAUACUGGGAAGCUAGAGUAUGGGAGAGGAUGGUAGAAUUCCAGGUGUAGCGGUGAAAUGCGUAGAGAUCUGGAGGAAUACCGAUGGGCGAAGGGCAGCCAUCUGGGCCUAAUACUGACGCUGAGGUACGAAAGCAUGGGGA